GAAGAAAUCCCAUCCAUCAUUAUAUAUUUUCACUUGAAAUGAAUAGAAAUUCAGCCAUAAGUCAUGAUUCUUUGCCACCCAUUCUUCACGCUUGAAAAGCUAUAACAGAUUGUUGAUUUCGAAGGAGAAAAAAUAAAAUUUCUAUACACAUUAUGAUGGUCUUAGGCAGGCUCCCCGUGCCCAAUAAAAGAUUGAUCGACUUAAUUCUUUCAUUCACGAAAGUACUUGCCUCUCUCUCGCACCAACUCUCUAGCCCAACUUCUGAUUUAGAUUCUCUCCUGCAGAGCUGGAGUACGAUUUUGGCCGAGUAGGAUGCAGAUAUUUAUUGCUGCAGCACAAAAGCUUCAGACUACUUUUCUAGCCUGCACAAGUUCUCAACUUCGACAGCAUUGUUUUGCGACACCAUGUUGCAACGGUGUUGAUCCAAGAAAAAAUUCGCAAAAUUAAUCGGUAGUAAUAAAAACGUAGCAUUGUGCAUUAAAGCAGCUCGCCUGCAAAUUGCAGUCUUGCCAUCUAAAUGAAUACAGGAAAAAGAGUCAUCAAAAUCAGUGAAGAUAUCCAUGGCCAGGUUCUAAAUCAAUUACCAUGAUGAGAAUAAGUACUUCUGCCAGCUGACAGAUGUUUUUACAACUCGCAUCUAAAACCUUCCUUUUCAUUUAUAGAAAUGCCUAAAGAUAAUGCAUAUAUGAUCAGAUACGCUAACAGUCCUUGCAUCAUCAGAGAGUAUGAGACCUAGCAAGUUUCAAAUUGUAGAUUCGAUCAAACGUGUGCCCUUGUGUGUACACAUCAUCGAGGAGAAGAAGGCCCAGACUAUCACAAACCCAGAAACAGCAUUCUCAUGUGUCAGACUUCUUAAACAUCAUCCACCUUGAAGUCCUCAAUAAUAGAACUUUACACCAAAUCAAAAGGGAAACAACAAUAGCUAGAGACAACAGCAAUCUUUCCUAAAACUAGACUGUGGUAUCAAAUGAUAAGGUCGUCAAAAUUCUUAAAGUCGAGAUCCUAUGAAUCAUAUUGACAGUCCAGAGCGACCAACAUCAGAAAACAGAAAUAUUUAUAGCCAGCUACAAUUCCCAACAAGCAACCACUCUUCCAAUCAAUUAACAUAAAACACCCUUAUCAGACUCUGGAUCACUAAACAUCAAAUCCUUACCUCAGUUUAGCACCAACACCCAUGACUCGAGUAGCUGAUUCUGUAACUUUACAAUGGUCAUUAGACCUAGUAAUCACCAUUACGAUCCAUGAGACUACGUCUAAAACAAUGGUUGUCGGAUCAGUUUGAGAUCCAUAAACCCUAAUGGAAGGUCAUCCAACAUAAAGCAUAAUAGGAGUGUCAGUCAGGAAAGCCUAUUAAAAUGACAAGUCUUAUUACAAUGUCAGAUAUCAAGGGAUUAACAGCUCUAUUAUCAUUGCCCAAAAGCUGGACAUCCAUGCAACUUGAUCUGUCAGAACUAUGAUAUACAUAUUUACCAAAGAUGAGAAAGAAGAGUAGAUAAUUUUAGAUAAUUUAGAAAUGCUUUUCACCAUUGCAAAGAUGAGAAAGAGGAAUAGAUAAUUUUAGAUAAUUUAGAAAUGCUUUUCACCAUUGCAAAGAUGAGAAAGAGGAAUAGAUAAUUUUAGAUAAUUUAGAAAUGCUUUUCACCAUUGCAAAGAUGAGAAAGAGGAAUAGAUAAUUUUAGAUAAUUUAGAAAUGCUUUUCACCAUUGCAAAGAUGAGAAAGAGGAAUAGAUAAUUUUAGAUAAUUUAGAAAUGCUUUUCAUCACUGCAAAAAAGCAGAAGAGAUUACAAGCAUAAAAAUUUAUUACAAGAAAUAUCCAUAUGAUAUAAUGAGAACUCAAAUCCUGUAAAAAUCAAUCACCUAGCGAAAAAGCGCAAUUUACUAGACCGGCAUUAUGAGGUGUACUUCAAUCAAGGCCGUCAUGAAUAGCAUUACAUCUUCAUUUACAAUUGGCUAGCCUAGAAGCGAAAUCUUUUAGAAGGAACAAAAAUGAUGAAAAAAAUAAAGAAAUGCAAACAAAGUAUUGACGAGACUAAAUUCAUCUCUCAUUAACUUUAUCAAAUUCGCAUCUAAAUCUAAUUCAUUGACAACCCUAAUCAUAUCUCAUCUACAUCCUUGACAAUCAAUCGUCUUGGUAAUCUUU
This 2141-nucleotide long non-coding RNA is filed under the name Olea europaea (common olive). RNAcentral's name for it is "long non-coding RNA (OEUR_LNC007533)". The record is from RNAcentral. Lineage: Eukaryota; Viridiplantae; Streptophyta; Magnoliopsida; Lamiales; Oleaceae.